Molecule: small nucleolar RNA, 144 nt
Filed under: Leishmania infantum JPCM5
Lineage: Eukaryota; Euglenozoa; Kinetoplastea; Trypanosomatida; Trypanosomatidae
Source: RNAcentral
ACAGGAGCGUGCUGCGCAGGCCCAGAUGAUGUCCACUGCCCUGCUGCUUUCUACUGCACCAGUGCCCGCAGAUGAUCAAGAAGAGGAGGAGCAGCUCGAUGCUUACGCCCUCUACGGCCCGAGGCGUGCCGUUGGCCGCCCCGC